UACGAGAGGUGCAAGCGUUAUUCGGAAUAAUUGGGUGUAAAGGGCGCGUAGACGGCGUGUUAAGUUUGUUGUUAAAUCCUCCGGCUCAACCGGAGAUAUGCGGCAAAUACUGGCAUGCUAGAGGAUGGAAGAGAGAAGUGGAAUUCUUGGAGUAGCGGUAAAAUGCGUAGAUCUCAAGAGGAACACCGAUGGCGAAGGCAGCUUCUUGGUCCACUCCUGACGUUCAGGCGCGAAAGCGUGGGGAGCAAACAGG
This 253-nucleotide ribosomal RNA is filed under the name uncultured bacterium. RNAcentral describes it as "partial 16S ribosomal RNA". It matches the Rfam family "Bacterial small subunit ribosomal RNA", at positions 524 to 776 of the family's 1533-position model. The record is from RNAcentral.